UAAUCUUCGCGAUGGCGUUCCACUUCCUGCCCCCAUGUUCUCCACAAGAAACUGCUGGACGAUCUUUUAAAGUCUCUGCUCAGCCUCGCCUCAUUGUGCUCCGAUCGUCAGCAUGGGUGGGUGUUUGCCACACCACUCAUAUUGCCGCGGAUGGUAAUACCGUCUCCUUCUGAUGUUUGAAUAUGCACAGUUUUUAAUCUAUGUCGGCAAGGUCUGAUGGAAAUGGAAGUAAAAUACAAUUUGAAAAUAAAUCUUGGUGAUGUUUAUGCUCCACUGUUUACACUAUGUUUUUUUGAAACUUUGCUGCGUCAAUGCUAACAAGUUCAUUAGAUGUUUGUUUGUGCAGACUUUUUAAUAUAUGUUGGCAAGGUCCGAGUAAAAUGGAAGCAGAUUAAUUGCAGUUUGAAAGUAAUUCCGGGUAAUCUUUAUGCUCCAUUGCUUACUGAAUAUGUUUUCUGAACCUUUGCUGCAGUGAGUGAUAACAAGUUCAUUAGUUCAUAUCCCUCGAAAAAAAAUCGUUAGCUCAUAUAGCAAUUCAUAAUUUGCAAUUUGGAACAUAAUGAGUUCAAUAAGUGUAUGAUCCAUAUUUAUCUUAUGGACUAUAAGUUAUCUAUCUAGUAGUGUAGUAAUAAUAUCCGGUGUCUCAUCUUGAUAGGUAUGACCCAUUGUUACUCUUUUUCUUGAAUACACGUAGCGUGCGUAUCAUAUUAUAUAGAAAGAUGGGUGGGGCUUAGCGCCAAAUCCACCAUGUGGUAAAACAAAGUUUUACACCACUCACUCUACUCCACGUUCUAAUACAAGAAAAGGAUUACUCUCACCUAAUCCACGCGUCCACCACUCCCAUUGCUACUCAUAAUCUUUCUUUAGCAUUAUAAUUGCUUAAAAUCUAGCAUACAAUAGCAUUGCACUGCAGUCCUCUCUCCUUCGCCGCUAUGUUUCUCUUAGAUCCCUAAUCCCCUAUUCCUUUUACAUUACUGAGUCAGAAGGUCAUUUUGAGUAUUGAUGAAAUUUCUAUUGAUUUUGAAUCAGUGUCCAUCAGAGAUUAAGACUGAACAGUCAGUACCGCCACAAUAGUGAUCUAUACAUUAUUUGAUGUUGUUGUGAAAAUCUUUUAUCUAUGCUUCUAUUAUUGAUCUACAUGUCGAUUGUGCAGAUUUUUUUCCAUUGUCUAUCAACAAGUUGUUUGAUGAAAACCAAGGCAGGCCAGCGAUCUUCCUUAAGUCUUAUUCCAGCUAAUCUACGGUUAUCUUCUUCUUACGUUCAUGUACUAGGUCAUCUCUCUUUUGUAUAACCUAUACAUGUACCAUGUAUCUCCUUCACAUUAACAUAAUAGGUCAGUUUUGAACAAAGAUUGAAGUGUGCAUGCAGCCUUGCAAAACAUGGUGUUUUUUUUGUAUGUACAGUCUGCUCGGACAGUAGUUUUUUUUUUCUAUUGUCCUGGUUGUAUGUUGUAGAUAUACUUACAGCCAAGGAUCUGGAGUGAAUCCUGCCAUGCAAAAUAUUAUGCAUAUUAAAUUGAUUUGUAAGUAUAGAAUUUUGUUAUCCCAUUCAGUUUAUUUGAAUUUUGCCAUUGGUUGUACAAUCAACUUCUGAUCAUUGCAAGAGAUUUUUUUCAUUUGGGUCUAUAUAUAUCUUUGUAAAAUAUAUCAAGUAUACAUAAUCUGAUUUCAUUGUUUAUAUAUGUAGUUAAAGUUAGCCAGAUUGUCUGCAUGUCAUGUUGUAAUUGUACUUGCAUGGCCAAGUAGUUCUAGUCCACGAAGGUUAAUUUAUUAUCCAUAAGCCAUACAUCUAAUUAUUGUUGGAAUCUUGUUUUCAAACUUUGAAGAAUGAAUGCAUUACUACAAUUGCUUCAUUUGUUUGAUAAGCUUACUGCUAUUUGCAAGAUUAACUGAAACAACAUAGG
This 1903-nucleotide long non-coding RNA is filed under the name Triticum aestivum (bread wheat). RNAcentral describes it as "long non-coding RNA (TAES_LNC017895)". Lineage: Eukaryota; Viridiplantae; Streptophyta; Magnoliopsida; Poales; Poaceae. The record is from RNAcentral.